AUCAUAUUUGGUAGCCAAGGAUGACUUGCCUGACUCUUUGUGUAAAAUGUUUAGUGUCUUGUUUGAAGUCACUAUAAGUUGUAUCAAGCAAUGACCAUUUUGCUUAUAAAAAAGAUAUCAGGCAGUCUCCUUGGCUAUCCUUAUAUGUUCU
Molecule: microRNA precursor, 151 nt
Organism: Arabidopsis thaliana (thale cress)
Lineage: Eukaryota; Viridiplantae; Streptophyta; Magnoliopsida; Brassicales; Brassicaceae
Source: Rfam